This is a long non-coding RNA of Pleuronectes platessa (European plaice), 1433 nucleotides long. RefSeq lists it as uncharacterized. The record is from RefSeq and is a predicted model, not a curated record. NCBI's taxonomy places the organism in Eukaryota, Metazoa, Chordata, Actinopteri, Pleuronectiformes, Pleuronectidae. The transcript is spliced from 2 exons.
UGGAGAAGCAGCCGGAACCUCCACAACUGCUCGUUCUCCAUUUUGAAAAGGUUGCCUCAUCACAGAUGCUCUUGAUGUGGCCCAUACGUAGAAUCCCACUGCUCCGUGUUUCCCAGUUAGCGUUGAUCUGCUCACAUGGAGGCAGAGGGAGGAGGUCAGGCCGGUGGUUUGGUGUCUUGAAUGUCAGCAGCAGAGAAGUCGGGCUAUUUAAAGCGAAGGCACAUGGUGACGGAGCAUUCGGGUUCGUCGGCGGGAGCCAGAGUUCAACGCAGAAGAACAACAACAACCGUGUCAUCCUGUGAGAUCAGAGCAGCCGAGGAGAGGAAGCAGGUGCCAUCCUAAACAACAUGGCUGCCUCCACACUGCCUGGGUCAACAACACACGUUUCCUGUGUUUGAACGUUUCUAUGUUUCAGACACAGACGCCACACGGACACAUCGGACACUGACCCGGAGUUUGGUGGUUGUCGUGAAAACUAAAAUAAUCGAUACAAGUAUUUGUUAGCAAAGAAAUGAAGGAAAUCCAAGAAAGGAUCAUUAUUUCUUUUUUAUUCAAACAGGUGCAGGGUCAGAGGAUGUGGAGGUUUUGGCUUUAAAAGCUGAUUAAUGAUAGUAGCUUGACUUUCAUUCGUCCAGACUGAAAUAUUGACAGUUGGAAGGAUGACCAUGAAAUAAACGUGAAAUCUCCAUCGUUUCCCAUCCUGAUUAAAAAGUACGUAAUCUAACACCCCCAUGAGUUAAGUAGGUUCAGCUUCACUACUCUGCUCUGUAGUGAUCGUGGUAAAGAUCCGUGAAUAUCACAGAUACACACGCUCGACCAAUCACGUGUCAGUCUCAGCCAACCCUGACUUUUCAUCCUGUUUUUAUGCCUGAAAACACUAAUUCAAACCUGCUCUGAGCUGAGUUUCAUAGCUUUCACACAUGAACUCCAGAUUGGGUGCAGACUUUGCCUUUGACAUGUGAAGACACAUUCACCACAAGGGGAAGAUGUCCGGAGCGUCAAGGUCCUCACCCACAGUCCAAUUUGUGGAAAAGAUCUGCAGCAACCGACUGUGACGUCUGCGUCGUAAACAGGAAAAUGUCCGGACUUCAGUUCAUGUGAGGAAGCAGCUUUACAGACUUGCUGGUGAACAAAGUGGAGACUCAGAAACCGAGGAGCCGGAUAUUCUUCUCAGGAGUCGGUGGAGAACCAAUCAGAGGGAGAAUGAGCCUGAACGUUGAAAUGGCUCCAUGGUGUUAAUAAUAAAGAAAAUAAGUUAUAAGAUCGAUGGAGUUUGUUUUCAUAGUUUUAUUCUAGUGAUCAACUUUUACUAUUCCAAUAUCCAGUAGAGACACAGCAGCAUGACAAGCAGACUCGAACAUAUCAGUCUCUUUUAUUUACCUGAUAUUUGUUUCCAUCAGGAUCCGUGAAUUAAAGUCCCUAACUCACCAAGU